CAGCCGCCGCGGUAAUACGUAGGGGGCGAGCGUUGUCCGAAGUUACUGGGCGUAAAGAGCGCGUAGGCGGGUCUUUAAGUGAGGGGUGAAAGGUUCAGGGCUCAACCCGGACACUGCCUUUCAUACUGGAGACCUUGAGUGUGGGAGAGGCGAGUGGAAUGGUCGGUGUAGCGGUGAAAUGCGUAGAUAUCGAUCGGAACACCCAUGGCGAAGGCAGCUCGCUGGCCUAUAACUGACGCUGAGGCGCGAAAGCGUGGGGAGCAAACAUGAUUAGAUACCCCCGUAGUCCCUGUCUCUUAUA
This 301-nucleotide ribosomal RNA is filed under the name uncultured bacterium. RNAcentral's name for it is "partial 16S ribosomal RNA". It matches the Rfam family "Bacterial small subunit ribosomal RNA", at positions 509 to 808 of the family's 1533-position model. The record is from RNAcentral.